AGGAAUAUUGGGCAAUGCCCGCAAGGGUGACCCAGCAACGCCGCGUGGAGGAUGAAUGUCGUAAGAUUGUAAACUCCUGUUAGAGGGGAAGAAUAGUACCGGUUGGACCGGUAUAUGACUGUACCCUCAGAGAAAGCCCCGGCUAACUACGUGCCAGCAGCCGCGGUAAUACGUAGGGGGCAAGCGUUGUCCGGAUUUACUGGGUGUAAAGGGCGCGCAGGCGGGAUAAAAAGUCAGUGGUUAAAUCCUACAGCUUAACUGUA
RNAcentral lists this ribosomal RNA (263 nucleotides) under uncultured bacterium. RNAcentral describes it as "partial 16S ribosomal RNA". It matches the Rfam family "Bacterial small subunit ribosomal RNA", at positions 357 to 617 of the family's 1533-position model. The record is from RNAcentral.